RNAcentral lists this ribosomal RNA (600 nucleotides) under uncultured bacterium. RNAcentral's name for it is "bacterial SSU rRNA". It matches the Rfam family "Bacterial small subunit ribosomal RNA", at positions 90 to 692 of the family's 1533-position model. The record is from RNAcentral.
UGAGAGCGGCGUACGGGUGCGGAACACGUGUGCACUGCUUUAUCUGGGGGAUAGCCUUUCGAAAGGAAGAUUAAUACCCCAUAAUAUGUUGAAUGGCCAUCAUUCGACAUUGAAAACUCCGGUGGAUAGAGAUGGGCACGCGCAAGAUUAGAUAGUUGGUGAGGUAACGGCUCACCAAGUCUACGAUCUUUAGGGGGCCUGAGAGGGUGAUCCCCCACACUGGUACUGAGACACGGACCAGACUCCUACGGGAGGCAGCAGUGAGGAAUAUUGGACAAUGGGUGAGAGCCUGAUCCAGCCAUCCCGCGUGAAGGACGACUGCCCUAUGGGUUGUAAACUUCUUUUGUAUAGGGAUAAACCUACCCUCGUGAGGGUAGCUGAAGGUACUAUACGAAUAAGCACCGGCUAACUCCGUGCCAGGCAGCCGCGGUAAUACGGAGGGUGCAAGCGUUAUCCGGAUUUAUCGGGUUAACAAGGGUCGGUAGGCGGGAUUCUGGUAAGUUCAGUGGGUGAAAAUUCUUCAACAGGGUUUAAACUUGGUGGAAACUUGGCCAAUUUGGAUUACUUGGAGGGUCCUUGGAAGUUGGUUGGUUGAAAGUU